This 250-nucleotide unclassified non-coding RNA is filed under the name fungal sp. RNAcentral's name for it is "partial internal transcribed spacer region". The stretch from base 1 to 46 matches the Rfam family "Eukaryotic small subunit ribosomal RNA", at positions 1786 to 1831 of the family's 1831-position model. Lineage: Eukaryota; Fungi. The record is from RNAcentral.
AAGUCGUAACAAGGUAACCGUAGGUGAACCUGCGGUUGGAUCAUUAUAGAAAUGAUUUUAUUAUUGAGGGAUCAACCUUUAAACAGUUGAUCACUCUUUACCCCAAAACCAUGUGAAUUUGUAUUUAUAAAGGAAACAAUGUGUAAAAACUUGUUUCCUUUAAUUUUAUAAACAUUUUUAAACCUUUUUUUUUAUAUUUAAAAAAUAAAAUAAAAAAAAACAACUUUUGACAAUGGAUCUCUUGGCUCUC